Molecule: long non-coding RNA, 3887 nt
Filed under: Pelobates cultripes (western spadefoot toad)
Lineage: Eukaryota; Metazoa; Chordata; Amphibia; Anura; Pelobatidae
Source: RNAcentral
UGUUUGUAAAUUUCUAUAUUUCUUGAAUAAAAACACUUAUAGGUAUAAUAUUCAUACAAAUAAAGUCAUAUACUAACCGAGAUAAAUGUAUUAGUAGCAGCAACACUGUUUGGAAACCACGCAUUUUAAAAGCAUGGCAUUUUUAAAGCUUCAUUUUCAAUACAAGGAAAAGCAGAAAAUGUGACAUGUAUUAGCAAGAUAUACGGACAAAAAAACCCAAACCAACCUCUCCAACGCACUGUAGUGGUUAAGGUAACACAUAGUACCCAUGCACCCCAUCUAUUGUAAGCAGCCAGAAAGAUUUUGAAUGCUUGGAUAGUGCAGUUUCCAGCCUCCACUUCCACCGGAGAGUCGGAUGUUCCUAAGCAGAAACUUCCGUUAGCUCACCUGAGCUAACUCAUACAACGCAAGUCUUAGCUCAUUGGCUGAGAGCGUCAGCUGAUCUCUGCUUAGGAACUGUUGGCUCUCUGGAGAUGGUAGCGGUGAUAGGGCACCACCGGCUGUAGUGGUUAUGGUGCUUAGAUUACUCCUUUAAACCUUAUUUCACCUUGGAGGGAAUUGAUUCAAGAAGAUUGAUCACAAUUUUGGACAGGCUGUAUGUAAUGCUUCAAAUAUGUACCAAGAUCUUUGCAGACAUGUUUUCUGUUUACAGUUAGAACUGCACACUUCUGUAAGCUUUUUCUAGCUCCAUGCGAAGCUCUGAGCCAAAUUCCCAUCAGAGUCAUUUUAUUUGAUUUUUUUUUUUACUUGGAAGGCUAGUUGUAAGAAUGUCUGUCUAAUACAUUUCAUGACUUUCAGAACAUGCUAAGAGCUGGGGCUUUGUGGCUAGCAUUGCAAAUACUGAAGCAGAGAAAUAUUCUGAUGCCGAAAUUCUCCAGGAAGAAAGGGAAAUCCUUUGCCAGAUCCAUCCUGUUUUCCUAGACACAUGAAUAUUGAUUGGAAGCAUUUGCAAAGGUUUGCCCUGCUCGAUGAAGGAGCCAAAUCUUGCAGGCAAUAAAUCAAGUCAUUUACUGAGGUGACAAUACAAUUAAUUAAUUUGGCUCUUGCACCACAGAGUUAGAGACAUUGAAUGGUUACUCUUUGUGGACCAAUAAUUAUUUCAUCAAUGACUAUAAAGAUUCUUUAUAAAAAAAAAAUGGAAUAUCCCACUCAACCUGCCAGGAGAAAGUAUAGACCCGACAAUGCUGAAUAUUAGCACCAGAAAUGUAUUUUUAAUAUUAUAAUUAUCCUUGCAGCAUGUAAUGAAAAGAUAUACUUAAUUUAAAAAUACUGGAAAAUCUGGCCCCUUCUUUCACAGAACACCAGAUCCCUCUGCCUUAUUCAUACACCUUCGGUCAGACAGAGGUAGAAUCUGACUGCUAGGCUCCUGCUUCACUCCCUGCACAGAGAGAGAUCGGUGAUGUCCCCAGAUAGACCCCUAGCGGCAAUCUCACUGUUGGGGGUCUUCACAAAAUUUGCAAAGUCGCCAGACAGUAACAGUGUCACUUUAAUUAUUGUAACACUAUUUUUAAAAAAUUAGUGACACUUUAUUCUUAAUAGUAUUUCAUACAAUGCCAUUUUAAUGCUAAAAAUACAUAGGUCAAAAUAGCAGAGCCACAAAAAUUAGGCCGAAUGGACUACUUCGGUCUUAUGUUUCCAAACAGUUAGCAAUUCAUAUAAAGUCUGUACACACUAGAGGACUCAGGAGGUGACAUUUUCUUAUGGAAACAUUUCAUACUGCCUAAAAGAAAGGAAAAUAAAAUCUAUCAGGCUGUGAUGCGAAUUGUGGAACCUAAAAACUAAACUAAAAAUACUAUAAAAAUUGCUUUGCUUUUCCUUCAAGGAAUAUUUAAAAAAAAAGAUAUCAUCAGUUAUUUAAACAUUCACAAUAAUUUGAAGGGUCAGUCCAAUCAAAAUAACGGCUAUAAACCAGUGUAGUGGUUAUGGUUCCAGGAGUGCCCGGUUGACCCUUCCUCCAAUCUAAGGAGUCAAGGAGUUUAGAUUGCUUUGACUUCUCACAUUGGAUCGGCCUUGCAAUGCCUCCUCUUUGGUGGAAGCACUCAGCUUUGGGAUAAGCCCGGCGGUGCUGGACCUAGCUCGUUGGCCGAGAUUGAUCAGCCAAUGAGCUGGCCUUGCACUUGCAGAAAUUCCUAAGCAGGAGCUUCCGGUUCUCCUAAAAGGUAGAGAGGAGGUAAGAAGUCAAACCAUUAAUAAACUGUUUUACUAAUUACACUGGAAAUGCAGAAACCAUAACCAGGCUUUCAAACUGUCCCGAUUUCAGUGGGACAGUCUCGUCCCAACUUUGUUCCUGGUGACCUGCUUUUGGAAAGUCAGGGAACAAAGUUGGGACUGGACCAUAAAAUACGGGACGCCGAUGUUGGGGCGUAUGCCAUAACCACUACAGUGCAUCGUAAUAGUUAAACUUUACUAUCUAGUCUGUAAACACGUCACUUUGUGUGUGGGAGGCUCAUCCUAACGACUACCACAAUUAACUGCUUGAUUAAUUAGCCUCUACAGACUGAUUGAAUGAGAUCAUACCACCUGCUUAUACAAAUAAUCCUCAAUGUGUAGAAAACUCCUACAAGAUCCAUACUAAAAAUACAUAUUUUGAUGAGAUCAGAGACAAAUAUAUUUUUUUAUAAUUUAACUUGCAGUAUUUCAAACACAAGAGAUAUCAUGAAAUUAUAUCACAAAUAAAAAAUGCAGAAUACCACAUGAAUAAUACUAACCAUCUAUUAAAAUAACACACGUAAAGCUGUGUCUGGAGUCUGUCACAUUUGUGACCGUUAAUAAAAGUAUCUAAUGAAAACAUAUGCAAAUAAAUGCAUGCAUAUUUUUAAUUGGGCAUAUGAAAUAUAUAGUGAUUUUUAUUUAUUUUGUGCAAUGGUACACUCAAUUCUCACAAGUAGAUUUCUGUCAUAUAGGGUAUAAUAAAAAAUUCUGCAAUUUUAUCAAAUUGGGGCAGUCAAAUAGUCUUUUAAUAAAACAAACAAAAAAAGUAAUCGUUAAUACAAUGAAAAGACUAUGUCUGUAGAGAUGCAAAUUAGAACACUCUGUUCUCAUGGAUUAUGGGACAAAAGUUUCCUAGAAUAAGAUUUACAACCUUAUGUAACGUCUGCAGCUGGAAUUGUAACCCUUAGUCUAAUCCCCCGGUACAUAUUGCAGACCAGUCUGCCUUUUUAUUGAACGUUUUAACAUUCUCUCUCACAGCAAAUGCUUUGUUAUAUUACAUAUGUGCUUUCACCAAGACAACUUGACCGUCAACAGGCAUGGCUCCAAAAAACUUGGGCAAUGGGAAUAAAAUAUUUUUUUAAUUAUGUGCCAAUCAUUAAUAUGCCAAAUAAGUUUACUGGCUGUACCUAGUAAAUUGGUUGCACUUCUCUACAAGACUUGUGUCAAUGUCAGAGAGCCAUCCUAUGUACAGCAGGUAAAGGCUGUCGCAAGAACUCCCCCAGAGCAUUAUGGGAGAUCGCCCAUGUCUUGUCUAGCAUUGUAUACUUCCCUGACAGCUAUAUGGUCAUAAUUCUGAUUAUCGGAGUAUAUUUACUAUGUAUUCCUCUCGAUUCAGUUAUUCCAAAAAAGUAUUUUCACUGUAAAGAAGUAUACAAUGAUUUUGGAUUUUUUUUUCAAAGAAAAGGAAAAAAAGUGAAAAAAAUAUAUUUUCCAUAUGAUUACUAUAAAUAAAUGGUUUUGAUAUUGCUUGUAAUAUAAAUAGCAAUUGUUUACUGAAUUUGAUCCAAUGAUUACCUUUAACAACUAAGAUCUUUGGUGAUGUACGAUUUAUGAAUAAAUGCAAUAAUAUUGUAACAGAAAAUGUGAAAUAAUCAUCAAUUUUAUUGUAAUCGAAGACGGUACACAGGCUUUCGUGCUUUCUUAAUUUUUUUUUGCUAAGCUUACUUUAUGAAAAU